GUGAGUAAUGCAUAGGAAUCUACCUAGUAGUAUGGAAUAGCUAUUAGAAAUAAUAGGUAAUACUGUAUAAUCCCUGCGGGGGAAAGAUUUAUCGCUAUUAGAUGAGCCUACGUUAGAUUAGCUAGUUGGUAAGGUAAUGGCUUACCAAGGCUGUGAUCUAUAGCUGGUCUGAGAGGACGAUCAGCCACACUGGAACUGAGAUACGGUCCAGACUCCUACGGGAGGCAGCAGUGGGGAAUAUUGGACAAUGGGCGAAAGCCUGAUCCAGCUAUGCCGCGUGAGUGAAGAAGGCCUUCGGGUUGUAAAGCUCUUUCAAUAGGGAAGAUAAUGACGGUACCUAUAGAAGAAGUCCCGGCAAACUCCGUGCCAGCAGCCGCGGUAAUACGGAGGGGGCAAGCGUUGUUCGGAAUUAUUGGGCGUAAAGGGCACGUAGGUGGACUAGUAAGUUAAAAGUGAAAUACCAAAGCUUAACUUUGGAGCUGCUUUUAAUACUGCUAGACUAGAGGUCGAAAGAGGAUAGCGGAAUUCCUAGUGUAGAGGUGAAAUUCGUAGAUAUUAGGAGGAACACCAGUGGCGAAGGCGGCUAUCUGGUUCGAUACUA
Molecule: ribosomal RNA, 601 nt
Filed under: Candidatus Ehrlichia shimanensis
Lineage: Bacteria; Pseudomonadati; Pseudomonadota; Alphaproteobacteria; Rickettsiales; Anaplasmataceae
Description: bacterial SSU rRNA
Rfam family: Bacterial small subunit ribosomal RNA
Source: RNAcentral